This 225-nucleotide ribosomal RNA is filed under the name uncultured Glomeromycotina. RNAcentral's name for it is "partial small subunit ribosomal RNA". The stretch from base 46 to 225 matches the Rfam family "Eukaryotic small subunit ribosomal RNA", at positions 693 to 874 of the family's 1831-position model. Lineage: Eukaryota; Fungi; Glomeromycota. The record is from RNAcentral.
AGACCGGCUUACUGGUCGUGCUUUUGUGCGUACUGGUAUAAUCGGUUUCUCCUUUCUGACGAACUUUAAUGCCAUUAAUUUGGUGUUUUAGGGAAUCAGGACUGUUACUUUGAAAAAAUUAGAGUGUUUAAAGCAGGCUCACGCUUGAAUACAUUAGCAUGGAAUAACGGAAUAGGACGUUUGAUUCUAUUUUGUUGGUUUCUAGGAUCGACGUAAUGAUUAAUA